Molecule: ribosomal RNA, 253 nt
Filed under: uncultured bacterium
Lineage: Bacteria
Description: partial 16S ribosomal RNA
Rfam family: Bacterial small subunit ribosomal RNA
Source: RNAcentral
UACGUAGGGGGCAAGCGUUGUCCGGAUUUAUUGGGCGUAAAGAGCUCGUAGGCGGCUUGUCGCGUCGGCUGUGAAAACUCGGGGCUCAACCCCGAGCCUGCAGUCGAUACGGGCAGGCUGGAGUCCGGCAGGGGAGACUGGAAUUCCUGGUGUAGCGGUGAAAUGCGCAGAUAUCGGGAAGAACACCCGUGGCGAAGGCGGUUCUCUGGGACGGUACUGACGCUGAGACGCGAAAGCGUGGGGAGCGAACAGG